UAGACCAAUUUAGAUUUGGAACUAUUUUCGGGCAUAGCACCGGCAAAGCACCGCUGCCAGGCGCAAAGACAUCACGCAGCAUCUGAAAACCCUCAACUUCCGGCAUACACGAGCGAUUUGGAUCAAGCAUUGUGAUA
Molecule: long non-coding RNA, 137 nt
Organism: Alosa sapidissima (American shad)
Lineage: Eukaryota; Metazoa; Chordata; Actinopteri; Clupeiformes; Clupeidae
Exons: 4
Source: RefSeq, a predicted model, not a curated record